This 702-nucleotide long non-coding RNA is filed under the name Astyanax mexicanus (Mexican tetra). RNAcentral describes it as "lncRNA (ENSAMXG00005019999.1)". The record is from RNAcentral. Lineage: Eukaryota; Metazoa; Chordata; Actinopteri; Characiformes; Acestrorhamphidae.
AGUUUCAUCGGGCUGCCCAAGGAAUCUGACGUCUUUGACCAGGAGCUCAUAAAAGUAGGAAAACCUUGACUGGACCAUGGCAUCAGACAACUUAAAAACCAAGGAAAUGGUCUUUCUGCAAAAAUUAUCAGAAACUCUUGAUAUAAUGGUCAGCUCUAAGAGUGCAUUCAAGGGGGCAUUCAUAGGAAUGGUCUGCUCUGGGGCCGGAGGUCUUAUUGGUGGUCCAGCUGGACUAGUGGCAGGUUUUGCUGCGGGAGGUGUUUUGGGGUAUAUGGUGAAUUUGUCUGUGCCUCUAACUGAGCACCUGAAGAAACAGACACCUGAAUGGCUCCAGAAACUCUGUGCUGACCUCAGGAAACUGCUUGAGGACCUUUUCUGGUCCUCUGUGGACUUCAUGGUUGAGAAAGUUGUGCGAGAUGAAAAGCUGAAAAACAAAACAGUUGAAUUCCUUAAAGAUUUUUUAAAGAAAACAUCAAAUGUGACAGUCAGUCUGUCUGCAGCAUGAAAACAAAAAUGUGAGCAAGAAGCCUGGGCAGACUAAAGCAAUCUUAGGCUUCACAAUUAGUACAACCUUCCUUGAGAUUUUUUUCUAUAUUCAGCUAUUUUGAUCCAAAGCACAUCUUGUUUCACUACUACUUUUAAAAUUGCUACCACUACAAAUGUAUGCUUUAUAAAAUGUAUAAUGUAUAUUAUACCACAGUU